Molecule: ribosomal RNA, 253 nt
Filed under: uncultured bacterium
Lineage: Bacteria
Description: partial 16S ribosomal RNA
Rfam family: Bacterial small subunit ribosomal RNA
Source: RNAcentral
UACGAGGGGGGCAAAUGUUGUUCGGAUUUACUGGGCGUAAAGCGCACGUAGGCGGACUGUUAAGUCGGGGGUGAAAUCCUGGGGCUCAACCUCAGAAUUGCCUCCGAUACUGGCAGUCUCGAGUGCGGGAGAGGUGAGUGGAAUUCCCAGUGUAGAGGUGAAAUUCGUAGAUAUUGGGAAGAACACCAGUGGCGAAGGCGGCUCACUGGCCCGUAACUGACGCUGAGGUGCGAAAGCGUGGGGAGCAAACAGG